GAUGAACGCUGGCGGCGUGCCUAAUACAUGCAAGUCGAGCGAACAGACGAGGAGCUUGCUCCUCUGACGUUAGCGGCGGACGGGUGAGUAACACGUGGAUAACCUACCUAUAAGACUGGGAUAACUUCGGGAAACCGGAGCUAAUACCGGAUAAUAUAUUGAACCGCAUGGUUCAAUAGUGAAAGACGGUUUUGCUGUCACUUAUAGAUGGAUCCGCGCCGCAUUAGCUAGUUGGUAAGGUAACGGCUUACCAAGGCGACGAUGCGUAGCCGACCUGGGAGGGUGGUCGGCCACACUGGAACUGAGACACGGUCCAGACUCCUACGGGAGGCAGCAGUAGGGAAUCUUCCGCAAUGGGCGAAAGCCUGACGGAGCAACGCCGCGUGAGUGAUGAAGGUCUUCGGAUCGUAAAACUCUGUUAUUAGGGAAGAACAAAUGUGUAAGUAACUAUGCACGUCUUGACGGUACCUAAUCAGAAAGCCACGGCUAACUACGUG
This 497-nucleotide ribosomal RNA is filed under the name uncultured bacterium. Its description in RNAcentral is "partial 16S ribosomal RNA". It matches the Rfam family "Bacterial small subunit ribosomal RNA", at positions 28 to 507 of the family's 1533-position model. The record is from RNAcentral.